UGAAAUCCCAGCUUCAUUACUUCCUGUUAGUGUGGCAAGAUUUUUAGCUGCUGAUACCUACCCAUUCCAGCACCCUUUAAACCGAUUCCUGUCUUCCUUUAAUGUUCUAUGCAUAAGGAGUCCUGGGCUUCCAUGAAGAGAGUGUAUGCCUCACUUUCAAACUACAUAUGCCAGCUGACCAAGGAAGAGUCACUCUAUGAUUUAGAAAAAUGCUGA
Molecule: long non-coding RNA, 216 nt
Filed under: Vombatus ursinus (common wombat)
Lineage: Eukaryota; Metazoa; Chordata; Mammalia; Diprotodontia; Vombatidae
Description: lncRNA (ENSVURG00010004071.1)
Source: RNAcentral